RNAcentral lists this ribosomal RNA (592 nucleotides) under uncultured Methanosarcinales archaeon. RNAcentral's name for it is "bacterial SSU rRNA". It matches the Rfam family "Archaeal small subunit ribosomal RNA", at positions 330 to 922 of the family's 1478-position model. The record is from RNAcentral. Lineage: Archaea; Methanobacteriati; Methanobacteriota; Methanomicrobia; Methanosarcinales.
GCGCAGCAGGCGCGAAAACUUUACAAUGCGGGAAACCGUGAUAAGGGGACACCGAGUGCCAGCGUCAUACGCUGGCUGUCCAGGUGUGUAAAAUACACCUGUUAGCAAGGGCCGGGCAAGACCGGUGCCAGCCGCCGCGGUAACACCGGCGGCCCGAGUGGUGAUCGUGAUUAUUGGGUCUAAAGGGUCCGUAGCCGGUUUGGUCAGUCCUCCGGGAAAUCUGAUAGCUCAACUGUUAGGCUUUCGGGGGAUACUGCCAGACUUGGAACCGGGAGAGGUAAGAGGUACUACAGGGGUAGGAGUGAAAUCUUGUAAUCCCUGUGGGACCACCUGUGGCGAAGGCGUCUUACCAGAACGGGUUCGACGGUGAGGGACGAAAGCUGGGGGCACGAACCGGAUUAGAUACCCGGGUAGUCCCAGCCGUAAACGAUGCUCGCUAGGUGUCAGGCAUGGCGCGACCGUGUCUGGUGCCGCAGGGAAGCCGUGAAGCGAGCCACCUGGGAAGUACGGCCGCAAGGCUGAAACUUAAAGGAAUUGGCGGGGGAGCACAACAACGGGUGGAGCCUGCGGUUUAAUUGGAUUCAACGCCGGG